AAAUGUACAUGUCGAGUCUUUUACUCCAUGUUUCUCUCAAGUCUAUAAUUCACUAAGUUUCAUUCCUUACAUACUCGGUGCGUCAUUUGUACUGACGUCCCUUUUACCUAGGGACACUGCAUUUCAUGCCAGCGGGUCCCGAUAGACAGGUCGAAAGCCCUCCAAGCAGGCGAUCAGUUCAGCGAAAGAUGUUGGUGCACUUCAUUUAUUUUAGAGUUGCUUGUUUGGUUAGUAUGAUUUAAACGUUUAUUGUUUGGUAUGGUGGAAUUAUGUUCCGGCCUUUAUGAAGAAUAUGUGUUCUUAGAGGCUUG
Molecule: long non-coding RNA, 311 nt
Filed under: Nicotiana benthamiana
Lineage: Eukaryota; Viridiplantae; Streptophyta; Magnoliopsida; Solanales; Solanaceae
Description: long non-coding RNA (NBEN_LNC020127)
Source: RNAcentral